RNAcentral lists this unclassified non-coding RNA (1355 nucleotides) under Hevea brasiliensis (rubber tree). The record is from RNAcentral. Lineage: Eukaryota; Viridiplantae; Streptophyta; Magnoliopsida; Malpighiales; Euphorbiaceae.
AAUAAAGCCUUUGUCAUAUUUCAAGGAAAAAUAUGAUGUCAGCAUGGCAUAUUAUACCGAUGAAAUUGCAGCUGUUUUGCACAAACAAUACCAGGAACUGGGGAAACCAUUACUAUUCCUGUUACAUGGGUUGAAUACUGAUAGCAACAAUUUUGCAGUGCCAGCAAAUUUUGAGGGGAUCGAUACGUUUGAAACUGAUAUGAAUACUUUGCAUCCUAUUUUGACCGAAUGUCGUGUCUUGAAAUCGGAGCUGGAGCUUGCUCUUAUUCAAUUUGCCAACGAUAUUAGCUCAGAAGCUCAUGUUCAGGUUAUGAGAAAUAUCAAGGUGGGCAUGAAGGAAUAUCAACUGGAAAGCUUAUUUCUUCACCACACUUACAUGUAUGGUGGAUGUAGGCACUGCUCGUACACCUGCAUAUGUGCUACUGGAGAUAAUAGUGCUGUUCUUCACUAUGGACAUGCAGCAGCGCCAAACGACAGAACGUUGGAAGAUGGUGAUAUGGCUUUGUUUGAUAUGGGAGCAGAAUACCAGUUUUAUGGAUCUGACAUUACUUGUUCAUUCCCUGUGAAUGGUAAAUUUACAAGUGACCAGUUGCUGAUAUAUAAUGCUGUCCUCAAGGCCCAUGAUGCUGUUAUAUCAGUUAUGAAACCUGGAAUAAACUGGGUUGAAAUGCACAAAUUAGCGGAGAAGACUAUUCUUGAGUCAUUGACUGAGGGUUCUGUACUAGUUGGAGAUGUAAAGGACAUGAUGGCCGAGCAUCUUGGGGCUGUUUUCAUGCCACAUGGUUUGGGGCAUUUCCUUGGCAUCGAUACUCAUGAUCCUGGAGGUUACUUGCAGGGUUUGGAGAGGCCGGAAGAACCAGGGCUAAAUGCUUUACGUACAGUUCGAGAUCUUAAAGAAGGAAUGGUCAUCACUGUGGAGCCCGGAUGCUACUUCAUUGAUGCAUUACUAGAUCCGGCCCUGGAGAAUAGUAAAACCUCCAAGUUUUUCAACGUAGAAGCAGUGAACAGAUUUAGAGGCUUUGGCGGUGUUCGGAUUGAAAGUGAUUUGCUAGUCACUGCCAAUGGCUGCAGAAACAUGACCAAUUGUCCUCGAGAGACAUGGGAAAUAGAGGCAGUUAUGGCAGGAUCCCCAUGGCCAAUUGUCAAAAAACCCGUCGCGGCCAGGUAGAUUAGUCGUUGGUCGUCACGAUAAUUAAGGAAUGCUGCGCCGAAAAUGGCAAUCAAAUGGGCCUGAGUUAUUGUCUGCAUCAGGUGCACUUGAAUUAGGCGUUCUGCUCUUCUGUUCUAAUUUCUAAAAUAAAGUAUAAACUCUGACCUCAAUUUGGUUCUAAAAUAAAUACCAUCUAUUAUCUCAA